ACUCCUACGGGAGGCAGCAGUGGGGAAUUUUGCGCAAUGGGCGAAAGCCUGACGCAGCAACGCCGCGUGAGUGAUGAAGGCUUUCGGGUCGUAAAGCUCUGUCAGGGGGAAAGAAGUGUAUUGUGGCUAAUAUCCACGAUACUUGACGGUACCCCCAAAGGAAGCACCGGCUAACUCCGUGCCAGCAGCCGCGGUAAUACGGAGGGUGCAAGCGUUGUUCGGAAUUAUUGGGCGUAAAGCGCGUGUAGGCGGUUUGUUAAGUCUGAUGUGAAAGCCCCGGGCUCAACCCGGGAAGUGCAUUGGAAACUGGCAGACUUGAAUACGGGAGAGGGUAGUGGAAUUCCUAGUGUAGGAGUGAAAUCCGUAGAUAUUAGGAGGAACACCGGUGGCGAAGGCGGCUGCCUGGACCGAUAUUGACGCUGAGACGCGAAAGCGUGGGUAGCAAACAGGAUUAGAUACCCUGGUAGUCCACGCCGUAAACGAUGAGAACUAGGUGUUGCGGGUA
RNAcentral lists this ribosomal RNA (505 nucleotides) under uncultured Geobacter sp. RNAcentral's name for it is "bacterial SSU rRNA". It matches the Rfam family "Bacterial small subunit ribosomal RNA", at positions 335 to 831 of the family's 1533-position model. Lineage: Bacteria; Pseudomonadati; Thermodesulfobacteriota; Desulfuromonadia; Geobacterales; Geobacteraceae. The record is from RNAcentral.